AUUGAACGCUGGCGGCAUGCCUUACACAUGCAAGUCGAACGGUAACAGGUUAAGCUGACGAGUGGCGAACGGGUGAGUAAUGUAUCGGAACGUGCCCAGUCGUGGGGGAUAACUGCUCGAAAGAGCAGCUAAUACCGCAUACGACCUGAGGGUGAAAGCGGGGGAUCGCAAGACCUCGCGCGAUUGGAGCGGCCGAUAUCAGAUUAGGUAGUUGGUGAGGUAAAGGCUCACCAAGCCGACGAUCUGUAGCUGGUCUGAGAGGACGACCAGCCACACUGGGACUGAGACACGGCCCAGACUCCUACGGGAGGCAGCAGUGGGGAAUUUUGGACAAUGGGCGCAAGCCUGAUCCAGCCAUGCCGCGUGCGGGAAGAAGGCCUUCGCGUUGUAAACCGCUUUUGUCAGGGAAGAAAAGGUUCUGGCUAAUACCUGGGACUCAUGACGGUACCUGAAGAAUAAGCACCGGCUAACUACGUG
This 477-nucleotide ribosomal RNA is filed under the name uncultured bacterium. RNAcentral's name for it is "partial 16S ribosomal RNA". It matches the Rfam family "Bacterial small subunit ribosomal RNA", at positions 30 to 507 of the family's 1533-position model. The record is from RNAcentral.